CGGCUUACACAUGCAAGUCGAACGGGCACCUUCGGGUGUCAGUGGCAGACGGGUGAGUAACACGUGGGAACGUACCCUUCGGUUCGGAAUAACUCAGGGAAACUUGAGCUAAUACCGGAUACGCCCUUUUGGGGAAAGGUUUACUGCCGAAGGAUCGGCCCGCGUCUGAUUANCUUGUUGGUGGGGUAACGGCCUACCAAGGCGACGAUCAGUAGCUGGUCUGAGAGGAUGAUCAGCCACACUGGGACUGAGACACGGCCCAGACUCCUACGGGAGGC
RNAcentral lists this ribosomal RNA (278 nucleotides) under Methylobacterium sp. EP_L_82. RNAcentral's name for it is "partial 16S ribosomal RNA". It matches the Rfam family "Bacterial small subunit ribosomal RNA", at positions 45 to 349 of the family's 1533-position model. Lineage: Bacteria; Pseudomonadati; Pseudomonadota; Alphaproteobacteria; Hyphomicrobiales; Methylobacteriaceae. The record is from RNAcentral.